GUCUACAGCCAUACCACCUUGAACAUGCCCAAUCUCAUCUGAUCUCAGAAGCUAAUCAGGGUCGGACCUGGUUAGUACUUGGAUGGGAGAAAGAAAGGUAGGUUAGGAUCUUUAGUCU
Ribosomal RNA from Mesocricetus auratus (golden hamster), 118 nucleotides. The record is from Ensembl. Lineage: Eukaryota; Metazoa; Chordata; Mammalia; Rodentia; Cricetidae.